GUGUGUUCCAGGUAAAUCCGGUUCACUUUAACACUGAGGCGUGACGACGAGGCACUACGGUGCUGAAGCAACAAAUGCCCUGCUUCCAGGAAAAGCCUCUAAGCAUCAGGUAACAUCAAAUCGUACCCCAAACCGACACAGGUGGUCAGGUAGAGAAUACCAAGGCGCUUGAGAGAACUCGGGUGAAGGAACUAGGCAAAAUGGUGCCGUAACUUCGGGAGAAGGCACGCUGACACGUAGGUGAAGUGAUUUACUCAUGGAGCUGAAGUCAGUCGAAGAUACCAGCUGGCUGCAACUGUUUAUUAAAAACACAGCACUGUGCAAACACGAAAGUGGACGUAUACGGUGUGACGCCUGCCCGGUGCCGGAAGGUUAAUUGAUGGGGUCAGCGCAAGCGAAGCUCCUGAUCGAAGCCCCGGUAAACGGCGGCCGUAACUAUAACGGUCCUAAGGUAGCGAAAUUCCUUGUCGGGUAAGUUCCGACCUGCACGAAUGGCGUAAUGAUGGCCAGGCUGUCUCCACCCGAGACUCAGUGAAAUUGAACUCGCUGUGAAGAUGCAGUGUACCCGCGGCAAGACGGAAAGACCCCGUGAACCUUUACUAUAGCUUGACACUGAACAUUGAGCCUUGAUGUGUAGGAUAGGUGGGAGGCUUUGAAGUGUGGACGCCAGUCUGCAUGGAGCCGACCUUGAAAUACCACCCUUUAAUGUUUGAUGUUCUAACGUGGACCCGUUACCCGGGUUGCGGACAGUGUCUGGUGGGUAGUUUGACUGGGGCGGUCUCCUCCUAAAGAGUAACGGAGGAGCACGAAGGUUGGCUAAUCCUGGUCGGACAUCAGGAGGUUAGUGCAAUGGCAUAAGCCAGCUUGACUGCGAGCGUGACGGCGCGAGCAGGUGCGAAAGCAGGUCAUAGUGAUCCGGUGGUUCUGAAUGGAAGGGCCAUCGCUCAACGGAUAAAAGGUACUCCGGGGAUAACAGGCUGAUACCGCCCAAGAGUUCAUAUCGACGGCGGUGUUUGGCACCUCGAUGUCGGCUCAUCACAUCCUGGGGCUGAAGUAGGUCCCAAGGGUAUGGCUGUUCGCCAUUUAAAGUGGUACGCGAGCUGGGUUUAGAACGUCGUGAGACAGUUCGGUCCCUAUCUGCCGUGGGCGCUGGAGAACUGAGGGGGGCUGCUCCUAGUACGAGAGGACCGGAGUGGACGCAUCACUGGUGUUCGGGUUGUCAUGCCAAUGGCACUGCCCGGUAGCUAAAUGCGGAAGAGAUAAGUGCUGAAAGCAUCUAAGCACGAAACUUGCCCCGAGAUGAGUUCUCCCUGAGACUUAGAGUCUCCUGAAGGAACGUUGAAGAC
RNAcentral lists this ribosomal RNA (1346 nucleotides) under Salmonella enterica subsp. enterica serovar Enteritidis. Its description in RNAcentral is "partial 23S ribosomal RNA". It matches the Rfam family "Bacterial large subunit ribosomal RNA", at positions 1525 to 2845 of the family's 2925-position model. Lineage: Bacteria; Pseudomonadati; Pseudomonadota; Gammaproteobacteria; Enterobacterales; Enterobacteriaceae. The record is from RNAcentral.